UUGAUGGCUCUGGAGACUGAAAUCCUCUGUUUAUGACACAACAAACACAGCAUGUGCAGAAGCAGUACAGCUCACAUACUGCCUUGCUAAUAAGUCCCAAAUCUGACCUGUAAGGACCAUCUCUAGGGCUAAGAAAAUCCUGUUCUCCAUGGCUAUUCACCCCUCAACUGAG
Molecule: unclassified non-coding RNA, 172 nt
Organism: Gopherus agassizii (Agassiz's desert tortoise)
Lineage: Eukaryota; Metazoa; Chordata; Testudines; Testudinidae
Source: Ensembl